GACGAACGCUGGCGGCGUGCUUAACACAUGCAAGUCGAACGGAAAGGCCCUGCUUUUGUGGGGUGCUCGAGUGGCGAACGGGUGAGUAACACUUGAGUAACCUGCCCUUGACUUUGGGAUAACUUCAGGAAACUUGGGCUAAUACCGGAUAGGAGCUCCUGCUGCAUGGUGGGGGUUGGAAAGUUUCGGCGGUUGGGGAUGGACUCGCGGCUUAUCAGCUUGUUGGUGGGGUAGUGGCUUACCAAGGCUUUGACGGGUAGCCGGCCUGAGAGGGUGACCGGCCACAUUGGGAGUGAGAUACGGCCCAGACUCCUACGGGAGGCAACAGUGGGAAUAUUGCACAAUGGGCGGAAGCCUGAUGCAGCAACGCCGCGUGCGGGAUGACGGCCUUCGGGUUGUAAACCGCUUUCGCCUGUGACGAAGCGUGAGUGACGGUAAUGGGUAAAGAAGCACCGGCUAACUACGUG
RNAcentral lists this ribosomal RNA (467 nucleotides) under uncultured bacterium. RNAcentral's name for it is "partial 16S ribosomal RNA". It matches the Rfam family "Bacterial small subunit ribosomal RNA", at positions 28 to 507 of the family's 1533-position model. The record is from RNAcentral.